Molecule: long non-coding RNA, 4356 nt
Organism: Glycine soja
Lineage: Eukaryota; Viridiplantae; Streptophyta; Magnoliopsida; Fabales; Fabaceae
Exons: 4
Source: RefSeq, a predicted model, not a curated record
CUUGCUAAUGUAGUGCCCUGUAGAGCUAUAAUCCUUUUCCUAUCAUUCCCUAUGUCAUCCAAAAACAUUUUGUCCUCAAGGUUAUAAGCAGACCUUAAACUAGCCCAAUCCUCCCACGAUGUGUCAUCAGGAGAUAAGCCUGUCCAUUGCACUAAAACCAUCAAUUGAGGUUCAGAAUCAAUAUGGACCCAACGAGUAUCUAGAAUAGCAAGUGGAGAUGACUGGGCUAUUGUCAAUUGUUGUUGGUGGUAAGGCAAUGGGAGAGCUCGUAUCAGUUGGUGACUUGUGAAAUUGUUUUAGAAUGAAGCAAUGUAAGACAAGAUGAAUGCAAGAUCCCUCUAGCAGCUCUAGCUUAUAGGCUAGAUUUUCUAUAUGUUCCACGACCUUAAAGGGACCAUAGAAAUGCUUAGCAAGUUUGGAAUAAGAUGAUCCUGCAAUAGAGAGUUGGCACUAAGGGUGUAGCUUAACCAUAACCCAAUCUCCAGUCUUAAAACUCACUUCUUGUCGAUGAAUAUCAACAUUGAGCUUCAUCACUUCAUGUGCCAUAAGGAGUUUCCUUCGCAAGCUUGUGAUUAAAGCUUCCUUAUUGGUUAAUCUAUCACCCACUGCAUCAAUCUUCGAUGUUCCUGCUAAAUAUUAUGAAAUUGUUGGGGGUUUCUUGCUAAAAGUAACUUCAAAAGGUGAAACACUUGUACUUGAGUGUUGAGAUGUAUUAUAAGACCAUUCAACCAACAUCAAGAAUUUACCCCAAGAGGAUGGCAUGUUGUACACGAAUGCCGGCAAAUAUUGUUCAAUUACUCAAUUCAAAACCUUAAUCUGGCAAUUGAACUGGGGAUGAAAAGCUGAACUCAUAUGUAACUUGGUGCCACUCAACUUGAACUGUUCUUGCUAGAAAUGAAUAAUUAACAAAGAAUCACGGUUGGAGACUAGACUAUGAGGCAUACAGUGUAAUUUACCCACAAUAUCCAUGAAAAGGAGUGCCACUGUAUAGGCAGUGUAAUGAGGGUGUAACAUGCCCAGGUGUAUGCCUUUGCAGAAGCGACCGACCACGACCAAAAUUGUGGUCUGUCCUUGAUAUGUAGGGAGCCCCAUAAUAAAGUCCAAGGAUAAGUCCUCCCAAGGAGCAGAAGGAACCGACAAUGGGCAUAAUAAACCUGCAGGUUUGUGAGCUUCAUAUUUAGUGUACUGACAAUCAAUGCAUGUUGUUAUAAAACAUUGAACAUCAUAACAGAUGGUCUUCCAAGUUUUCCUUUAUCCGAGCCAAGGUCUUCUUAUUUCCCAUAUGACCACCUGUGGGUGUCGUAUGGAAUUCUUCCAGCAAGGUCCUGAUGAAGUGAAGCCCAUUAGGCAACCAAACACGACCUUUCUAUAAAAUUAGAUCCUGAGCAAUGGAACAAUCCAGAUGAGUAGAAGGGUCAGUCUGAAUGGCUUGCUGAAAUGCAAAAACUUCAAGGUUGUAGAUAAAUCCCUUUUAAGUUCCUGUUAAAAAGUGAAAUAAGGCAUGGAUAACAUGAAACAGGAGCCAUGGGUAGCUUCAGGGAUUCUCGACAAUGCGUCUACAGCCCGGUUUGAUUUACCCGAACGAUAUUGGAUUGAGUAGUCAUACCCAAUCAAUCGUGCCAAGUACAUCUACUGCUUUGGAGUCUGCACAACCUGAGACAUAAGUUCUUUGAGGCUACGGUGGUCUGUGAGUAUCACAAAGUGAUGAACCAGAAGAUAUCGUCGCCAUUUUUCAACCGUCGUUAUAAUGGCACAUAAUUCUCAGACACAGGUUGAAGCAUAAAGGAGUUUGGGACAAAAUGACUUGUUGAAGAAUGCGAUUGGGUGGCCUUGUUAGGAUAAUAUUGCACUCAUUCCUACCCUUGAAGCGUUUAUCUCUAAUACCAAGGGUAGAGAAAAUUUGGUAGCAGUAAUACGGGUGCCUUGCUGACUGCAUCCUCAAUUAAUCAAAAUCUUCCUACGCUUCCAAAGACCAUUCUAAUUUCUCCUUUGUAAAAAGAUGAGUCAAAGGUGAGGCAAUUGUGGUGCGAGGCAUAGGGGGACAAUGGCUUAGAAAAGGGGUUAAAAUGCGACUUGCCGCAGAAUGGUCAACGAGUUUCACUGAACUUCUCCUCCUACAGGCGAGCCAGAGGCGCCACCUGGAUCAGCGUCAAAGGCUGUAACGCCUAGACCUCUGGACGGAUCUCUAGAGCUAACCCGGAAAUGAAACAACUCAACAAGAAGGGUGCAAGUAAGCUGAUGAUACGGCUAGCCAAUGAUUCAAAGUCCAAAGGGUAAUCGUUAAUAGACCCACGUUGUGUCAAUUUGAACAGAGUCUUGGUAGGAUCCUCGUAUGUUGUCAGAGCAAAACGAGCCUCCAAAGUUUGAAGGAGACCGGUCCAAGAAGUGAGUUGGCCAUUGCGUGUCAUUCAUUGAAACCAAGCCAACGUCGGACCUUAAAUAUAGAAAGAGGCGAUGGUGAGACGUUCAUGGUUAGGGGUUGCAUGAUAUUAAAAAAAAUUGAGUGAUCUUGAAGAUCCAACCCAUAGUGUCCGAGCCAUCAAAGCGCAGGACCUCGAGCUUCAUCCGAUGAGGGUUGGAGGAGAAAAAAUAGGUAGGGCAUUUGCAGUGGAAGAAGUAGGAGAAGGCUGAUAUGUGUCCAGAUUGGCCAUUUUCAGAAGGAGGUCGUCCAGUUUAGCGGACAUAGUGUUCUGAGUAGCGGUGAGGGUGAGUUGGUUGGAACUUGGAAGUGAGUUUGGCGAUUGCGUCUUCCAGACGAUCCAUGUUGGAUUUGAUUUGAAACGUGUGGAAUAGGCCAUUGGAACUCGAUGAAAGCACCAAGAUAUUAGGCUCACAAAAAUAAAUCCUUAGAAUUCGAGGCCAAGGAAACCUCCAAACCAAGGUGAGAAUGAGAGAUGAUAUAUAUAUAUAUAUAUUAGAUGCAGAAUACUAAAUGACAAAAAUAACAUAAUGAAAUAACACACUAGCAGACAAGCAUAUUCCCUAAUCUGUACUAACUAAUCCUGUGGGUACAGCAUUAUCAUUAAUCUUCCUUUUGGGCCUUGCUGAUGCAGUGCCCUGUUGAGCUGUAAUCCCUUUCCUAUCACUUGUUGUAUCUAUUUUUCUUUGCAGGAACCAAUUCUAAUCUCAUCAUUGUCUAAUAUGAUUGUAGAGUUCAAAUUUGUAUCAGCUUUGCUCAUUUGGAUAUCUUAUGAUUUUCGUUUCUUCUUUUACGUAUGAAGUAAAUCGAAUUGGCGAAGAAAGGUUGAAGCAAACUGUGUUUCUUUAACUCCACUUUUUGUUUUCUGAGUACCAAAUGUUUGACGAAAUUCCUCAAUGUUUUUGCUUGUUGAUUUUUGCGCCUCUAUAAUAAUUAAUUGAUUCUAAUUGAAAUUUUCGUCUCAAUCGAAUUAGGCCAUCCUGCAAAGUCAUUAUCAAAUUCCUUUUGGUGAUGAAGACGCACGAUAUAUCUCUCAGUAAUCAUUUUUUUUUUCUGUUUAAUUGUUUAGUUUAAGUAUUGAAUUGUUGUUGUGUUCCAGUGAUUUAUUGUGUAAGAUACAUUGGAGAGUUUGAGUAUGUUGACCACAGGGUUGGUAAAAUCGUGGUUGAAUCGAACGACUGACUGAACAAGUGUGGGGUUAUUAGACCCCACGUUUUGCUUCAAGAUCAUAUUGGUGGACAUGGACUACAAGUUUUGGUCCAGAAUUAAUGUAUUGACGUGCCCCCUAUUCCUGGAGCACUAGUAGUAAACAUUGGAGAUCUACUGCAGGCAUUUUAUCGGUGGAGGGAAAAAGCAUUGGAUUAUCCAUUAGCCACUAGGAAAAUGCUGGUGCAUAUUAUUAAUUGACUUACUGAUAUUUCCUAAUAUAUUUUGAUGAUUGCCAGGUCAAAUUAGACUCAAACUUUGUGAGAAGCUUCAAUCUCACUCAAACUCUAAAGUAAGCAAGAAAACAACACAGUUCAUGUACAACUUCCAGGCAUAUAUCAAAUGUCGUUGUUGUUGAAGAGCAUUUUCCUAGUGACCUGUUGAAGCGGCUUCUGAUUUGCUUGUGACCUGUUUUUUAUUUUUAAAAUGUGUUGAUAGGUCAAUUUAGUUGAGCAAGUGUCCAAGCCCAAGGUGUGGAGAGUCUAUCUGAAGAGAAAUAAGAGAGAAAAGGAGGCAUAGGGAAAUUGGGCAUAUAGGGAAUAAGUAGAGAGAGAAAAAGGGGAUAAGAAUGUUUUAGUUUGUUAUGGGAAGAGACUAUUAGCUAUCUGAAAGAGCAUCACUAUGUUGUGGCAGUGGGAAUGAAUGUUUCCCUACUGUAUUUUCCUUAAUCACCAAUAAUACAAAUCUAUAUAUCAGUUUUCCUAUUCUAAUCCAUUAUCAGAAUUUGGGUU